This is a long non-coding RNA of Gasterosteus aculeatus aculeatus (three-spined stickleback), 1151 nucleotides long. The record is from Ensembl. Lineage: Eukaryota; Metazoa; Chordata; Actinopteri; Perciformes; Gasterosteidae.
CUCUGCCUGUCUGACUGACAUCUCUCAGGGGAUGUCCGCCCACCAUCUGAAAAUCAACCCCGACAAGACUGAACUACUUCUAUUUCCGGGAAAAGAUUCUCCUACCCAGGACCUGACGGUCAACUUUGGCAACUCCGUGUUGACAGCGACUUUGACUGCUAGGAACCUCGGCGUGACUCUCGACAGCCAACUCUCCCUGACUCCCAAUAUUACUGCGACAACACGAUCCUGUAGAUACACGCUCUACAACAUCAGGCAGCCUGAUCUCCAAAACCUGUUCGUAAAAAUGUAUACGAAAAUCUUGAACAUACAAAUUUCGUAGUGAUACAUACGAAAUAAAUACGGACUGCAACUGAUGACGACAUGGUCAAUCCCGACUCGCACUCUCCGCUCUGCAUCUGCAAAACUACUCGUCCCUCCCUCACUGAGAGCAAAACACUCGACUAGAUCUCGACUCUUUCCUGUCCUUGCUCCAAAAUGGUGGAACGAGCUCUCUGAAGACACCAGGACCGCAGAGAGCCUUCACAUCUUCUGCUGCAAACUAAAGACACACCUCUUCAGACUCUACCUCGACUAAAUGACUAACAAAUUGUAGCACUUAAAUUGUACUUAUAACGCCAUCUAUAGCAAAUUGUAAAUUGGCUUAUUUGAUGAAAUUGAAUUUUUUUAUUUUUUGUUCUUCUGGGUUUGUGUCCCUAUGGUUGAAUGCACUUAUUGUAAGUCGCUUUGGAUAAAAGCAUCAGCUAAAUGACAUGUAAUGUAAUGAAGAUGAUGAGGAUGAGGAUGUUAGCGCUUUGCAGAGGAGCGAGUUCUCACAGUGGACCCGCCUGUCGGCUCCAACAGCAGCUCGUCUACUGACAACAGAAACAUGGCUGUCAAUCAAAGCGUGUGUGAGGAAACAGGAAACUCGUUAUCUGUGCAUGUUCAGCUGAGGAGACUCAUGCUGCGUUCACAAAACAUCACCGUUUAUCACCGUUAAUCAAUGAGUCGUAAAUAAGGAUUGGAAAAAAAGGAUUUUCAUAAAAGCUCUGAAGACCUAAUGAUAAUGAUACAGAAGAAAGACAUCAGACAAAUCUGUGUCUGUCCAGUCUUUUAAAGCCUAAUCGAGCCAGAGAGAGACAGAGACAGACAGAGGCCAGUAGCAUGACAGU